Molecule: small RNA, 835 nt
Filed under: Pan troglodytes (chimpanzee)
Lineage: Eukaryota; Metazoa; Chordata; Mammalia; Primates; Hominidae
Description: retained intron
Source: RNAcentral
GAAAUCCGCGCGCAGCCUCCGCCGCUGCACACUGCGGCCUCUGCUGAACCCCUGCCGCGCCGCCGCCUUCGCCAGUCCGGACCGGACCGGCCCGCGUUCCCUUCCUCCGCUCCAGCCGGCCUCCGGCCCCGCAACCUCCUCCUCGGCGAAGUCUCCCUGGCCGCCCCAUGUCGGCCGCCCCCGCCUACAGCGAAGACAAGGGCGGCUCCGCUGGCCCCGGGGAGCCCGAGUACGGCCACGACCCCGCGAGCGGCGGCAUCUUCUCCUCCGACUACAAGCGGCAUGAUGACCUGAAGGAGAUGCUGGACACCAACAAGGAUUCUCUCAAGCUGGAGGCCAUGAAGAGGAUUGUGGCGAUGAUUGCCCGAGGAAAGAAUGCUUCAGACCUGUUUCCCGCGGUGGUGAAGAACGUGGCCUGUAAGAACAUAGAGGUGAAGAAGCUUGUCUACGUGUACCUGGUACGCUACGCUGAGGAGCAGCAAGACCUGGCCCUGCUGUCCAUCUCCACCUUCCAACGUGGCCUAAAGGUCAGGGGUCUCAGUUUGCCUCCCAGGGCCUGGGCCUCGUUGGCGCUGUAUCGGAGGAGUAGGCCUGGGGAGAGGCCAUGAACAUGGGAGCGGGCUCUGCAGACCCCUUCCUACCUGCCUAAAGUUGGGAGGGUCACAGUCAGAAGAGGCCAGCCAGACCCUCAGAGAGUGGAAGCUGGGCUCAGAAGGGGCGUAAGAGAUGAAGUGGGUACCCAGGGCCCCUGUCUCUCUUCCCAGGAGCCUGUGGUAAUGGCUGCUUCUAGUAUGAACCACUUGAGCCCCCGGAGAGUGGAGAGUCUCUAGCAAUG